Molecule: ribosomal RNA, 177 nt
Filed under: uncultured bacterium
Lineage: Bacteria
Description: partial 16S ribosomal RNA
Rfam family: Bacterial small subunit ribosomal RNA
Source: RNAcentral
AGACUGGAAUCGCUAGUAAUCGCGGAUCAGAAUGCCGCGGUGAAUACGUUCCCGGGCCUUGUACACACCGCCCGUCACACCAUGGGAGCCGGUAAUACCCGAAGUCAGUAGUCCAACCACGUGAGGACGCUGCCGAAGGUAGGAUUGGCGACUGGGGUGAAGUCGUAACAAGGUAGC